RNAcentral lists this ribosomal RNA (497 nucleotides) under uncultured bacterium. RNAcentral's name for it is "partial 16S ribosomal RNA". It matches the Rfam family "Bacterial small subunit ribosomal RNA", at positions 28 to 507 of the family's 1533-position model. The record is from RNAcentral.
GAUGAACGCUGGCGGCGUGCCUAAUACAUGCAAGUCGAGCGAACAGACGAGGAGCUUGCUCCUCUGACGUUAGCGGCGGACGGGUGAGUAACACGUGGAUAACCUACCUAUAAGACUGGGAUAACUUCGGGAGACCGGAGCUAAUACCGGAUAAUAUAUUGAACCGCAGGGAGCAAUAGUGAAAGACGGUUUUGCUGUCACAUAUAGAUGGAUCCGCGCCGGAUUAGCUAGUUGGUAAGGUAACGGCUUACCAAGGCAACGAUGCGUAGCCGACCUGAGAGGGUGAUCGGCCACACUGGAACUGAGACACGGUCCAGACUCCUACGGGAGGCAGCAGUAGGGAAUCUUCCGCAAUGGGCGAAAGCCUGACGCAGCAACGCCGCGUGAGUGAUGAAGGUCUUCGGAUCGUAAAACUCUGUUAUUAGGGAAGAACAACUGUGUAAGUAACUAUGCACGUCUUGACGGUACCUAAACAGAAAGCCCCGGCUAACUACGUG